UUGUGCCCCGACAAUGGGAAAUCACACUUUGAAAGUCAUUUUCAAAAAGUGGGGAAGCCAAUCAAAAAUAAUGGCACUUAUUGUUACUCUUUGGCUGAGAGGCCUGCCCCUCCCUUGGCUUCAUUCACAUCCAUUAUACAGAGAAAUUAAAUAAAAGCCAGUAUGGGCACGGAGGAGGGCUGAGAGCGCCGCUGUCCACCCACAGUGGCGCUCCGGCCCGGGAGGAGCUCGGUGGAGCGAGAGGAGAGGGAAGCGCCGAGAACACCCUCGAUGACGGUGGACGCCACCUGAACCAAAAGAUGUGAGGCGACUUUGUUGAGUGUUUUUCUGCUUGUCCUGCAAACUGACGCCUGAGGCCUGGUGAGAGGAGGGAAGAAAGUCAACCGAGCAAGACUCCCCCCAUCUGAAUCCAGCACACCUAUAACUUCCUGUCUUGCACAUGUACUUCAACUAUUAAAAUAUAUAAACAACA
Nerophis lumbriciformis (worm pipefish) is the source of this 472-nucleotide long non-coding RNA. RefSeq lists it as uncharacterized. Lineage: Eukaryota; Metazoa; Chordata; Actinopteri; Syngnathiformes; Syngnathidae. The record is from RefSeq and is a predicted model, not a curated record.